GAGACACCCUUCUGGGGCAAGACUUGCUUCAGUGGGGCUUUGGUGCUCACUGAGUCUGCCCCCUGAGUGUGUCCUU
Non-coding RNA from Myotis lucifugus (little brown bat), 76 nucleotides. Lineage: Eukaryota; Metazoa; Chordata; Mammalia; Chiroptera; Vespertilionidae. The record is from Rfam.